UACGUAGGGUGCAAGCGUUGUCCGGAAUUAUUGGGCGUAAAGAGCUCGUAGGCGGUUUGUCGCGUCUGCUGUGUAAGACCGGGGCUCAACUCCGGUUCUGCAGUGGGUACGGGCAGACUAGAGUGAUGUAGGGGAGACUGGAAUUCCUGGUGUAGCGGUGAAAUGCGCAGAUAUCAGGAGGAACACCGAUGGCGAAGGCAGGUCUCUGGGCAUUAACUGACGCUGAGGAGCGAAAGCAUGGGGAGCGAACAGG
Molecule: ribosomal RNA, 253 nt
Filed under: uncultured bacterium
Lineage: Bacteria
Description: partial 16S ribosomal RNA
Rfam family: Bacterial small subunit ribosomal RNA
Source: RNAcentral